AAGAGAAAAAAAUUGAGAAAAACAAUACAGAGAGAGUUCUGAGGACAGAGACGCCGAGAGAAGGCAGUGAGGGCCGAGACUUGGUGCUCAGAUGAAUUAUUAUUAUUAUUUUACAGAGUACCGAGGAUAAGCUUGGAUUGCUAGUUGCGAGAUUAGGUGAAAAAGUAGGAGUUGAGGAAUUAUUAUUAUUUUUAUUUUGGAGAUGUUGUAUCUAUAUUUGAGGAAAUUGAUUUAGUAUCAAUUUAAUUAAUUUGAGAUGGUGUCUUAUUUGUUUUGAGGAAAUUUGAUUGAUUUUGUAUCAAUAAAGGAUAUUUAAUUUCUUUUGA
Molecule: long non-coding RNA, 326 nt
Organism: Cornus florida
Lineage: Eukaryota; Viridiplantae; Streptophyta; Magnoliopsida; Cornales; Cornaceae
Exons: 2
Source: RefSeq, a predicted model, not a curated record